This 450-nucleotide ribosomal RNA is filed under the name uncultured Glomus. RNAcentral's name for it is "SSU rRNA". It matches the Rfam family "Eukaryotic small subunit ribosomal RNA", at positions 569 to 1024 of the family's 1831-position model. Lineage: Eukaryota; Fungi; Glomeromycota; Glomeromycetes; Glomerales; Glomeraceae. The record is from RNAcentral.
AGCAGCCGCGGUAAUUCCAGCUCCAAUAGCGUAUAUUAAAGUUGUUGCAGUUAAAAAGCUCGUAGUUGAAUUUCGGGAUUAGUGCGCCGGUCGUGCCUUCGGUAUGUACUGGUGUUACUGGUUCCUACCUUCUGACGAACCGUCAUGUCAUUAAUUUGGUGUGGCGGGGAAUCAGGACUGUUACUUUGAAAAAUUAGAGUGUUUAAAGCAGGCUCGCGCUUGAAUACAUUAGCAUGGAAUAAUGAAAUAGGACGUUCGAUCCUAUUUUGUUGGUUUCUAGGAUUGACGUAAUGAUUAAUAGGGAUAGUUGGGGGCAUUAGUAUUCAAUUGUCAGAGGUGAAAUUCUUGGAUUUAUUGAAGACUAACUACUGCGAAAGCAUUUGCCAAGGAUGUUUUCAUUAAUCAAGAACGAAAGUUAGGGGAUCGAAGACGAUCAGAUACCGUCGUAGU